UACGGAGGGUGCAAACGUUGCUCGGAAUCAUUGGGCGUAAAGCGCACGUAGGCGGCUUCGCAAGUUGGAUGUGAAAGCCCAGGGCUCAACCCUGGAAGUGCAUCCAAAACUGCUUGGCUUGAGUCCCGGAGGGGCCCAGAGAAUUCCCGGUGUAGAGGUGAAAUUCGUAGAUAUCGGGAGGAAUACCAGUGGCGAAGGCGCUGGGCUGGUCGGGUACUGACGCUGAGGUGCGAAAGCGUGGGGAGCAAACAGG
This 253-nucleotide unclassified non-coding RNA is filed under the name uncultured Myxococcales bacterium. RNAcentral's name for it is "contains 16S-23S intergenic spacer region". It matches the Rfam family "Bacterial small subunit ribosomal RNA", at positions 524 to 776 of the family's 1533-position model. Lineage: Bacteria; Pseudomonadati; Myxococcota; Myxococcia; Myxococcales. The record is from RNAcentral.